Phrynosoma platyrhinos (Desert horned lizard) is the source of this 71-nucleotide non-coding RNA. Lineage: Eukaryota; Metazoa; Chordata; Lepidosauria; Squamata; Phrynosomatidae. The record is from the annotation of a GenBank genome assembly.
GCCAGUGUGGUGCAGUGGUUUGAGUGCUAGACUACAACUCUGAAGACCAAGGUUCAAAUUCCACUUUGGCC